UUCAUCAAGACUGGAACCAUGGUGCAAAUACAUCACAUAUAGUGAACUCAACACUAAGCACCCAAUAAAAUUUAAUCAACCAAAUUGGUCAGGUAAGUUUCAGAUUGAUGGGAGGCUCCCCGUGUAUAGGCAACGAUCCUAAUUAAAUAACCAUUAUUCUAUCACUUAUCUUAGACACCAACUGAUCAAUCAAUUUCAAAUUGAUUUAGCCCAUUAGUUUAUGCCACCAC
RNAcentral lists this long non-coding RNA (230 nucleotides) under Elaeis guineensis (African oil palm). Its description in RNAcentral is "long non-coding RNA (EGUI_LNC069779)". The record is from RNAcentral. Lineage: Eukaryota; Viridiplantae; Streptophyta; Magnoliopsida; Arecales; Arecaceae.